AUUCCUCAUCCGUGAGUUCUCAGCUGACCCUUUUGUCUUCCUCCUCUUCAAAUCAUGACUCCUUAAUGGAAGCUUUUCAUUGAUUACAAUAUCAUAGAUAGCCUUAAGCAUGCUAUAAAAGCUAAAUAUCUGGGAAUUAGAUUUGACUAAUACUGAAGGAAAAAUAAGUACUUAUAAUUUUAAAUCUCAUCCUUACUCCAUCUAUGUAGAGUAUGCCAAAAAAAAAAUAUUCAGAAGAUUACAAACCUUGUUAAAGCAAUUUGUCAUCAUGGAAAACCAUGUAAUCAUUGUUACUAAAACAUUUUAAUUUGGCUUUGUUAACUUGAGAGAAAUGCUGCCUAAACUUGACUGGUUUCUGACUGAGGGUAGUAAAGACUGCUUUGUUAGGCCUGUAGGUGAGUCAUUCUAGAAUAAACUUGUUCACUGAAAUGUACAAAGCACAACUAGAGUUUUGGGUGGCUUGUGUGUGUCUUGAUUACUUUCAAUGUUAAUAAUGUUGACUUUUUAAGUUAACAGUCACUGUUAUGUACUAGGAACUGGUUUCCUUGACUUUCUAGAAUCAAUGGCCAAGAGAGGCAUAUAAUCCUUGAGGGGUUGAAGGUAUCAUGAAGUUGAGUCAGUAUGGAAGAAUUUCAAACAAAUUAAACAGGGUGCUGAAGUUCCGGCUGACUCAUCUGCUCAUGGUACGCUUACUGAUUAGUGAAUGUAGUUUUAAGCCUUUGUAUGUGUCCUCAGGGGCAGACAAACUUUAACAAGGACCAGAUAACAUUUGAAUGGAGGAAUUAUAUUUCAGGUGUUUUAGCUUGAAAUUUAUUUUUUAAAAAAAGAAAAAUUAAAAAAAAUAAAUAAGAGAGCAAAGUUUGGGAAGCGAGUUGUCAGUGUGAGAACAGACGCUGAUGAUGAGCCGGCCUGUCCCACUCUGGUGGGGCGGGGGCCAGCUGGGUAAAUAUUAAAUUGUUACCAGCAAGAAAAAGGAAGAAGAGUAAUAAUCUAUAGGAAGUAUCCGAGAGGGUCAAACAGUAGGAAACUUCCCAGGCAUGAUCUACUACCUGCCCAUAGAAGUAUAGCAUUUCUAAGCUUCUGUCUAAUGGACAUCUCGAGAUGAGAGUAAGUCUGAGAUGUUGAAAAUCAGUAGAGAAGAAAGAUCACUGCAGAUCAUAAUCUAUGUUGGCAACAUGAAAUGAUUUAUUAUAUUUGGGAAGUUUUAUUUUCUUAUGUUUUUUAAAAUUGAAUUGGUAAGUGCUUUAUAGACGUAUUUUUACCCAGGUGCCACUUCAAUGUGUAUGUAAUAAAAUUAUUUAUAUUAAAAGUGGGAAAUUUUGUCAACAUUUUUCUGUGUGUGUAAAUUUAUUAGGAUGGUGAA
This 1363-nucleotide long non-coding RNA is filed under the name Rattus norvegicus (Norway rat). RNAcentral's name for it is "long non-coding RNA NONRATT013720". The record is from RNAcentral. Lineage: Eukaryota; Metazoa; Chordata; Mammalia; Rodentia; Muridae.